Molecule: long non-coding RNA, 317 nt
Filed under: Rattus norvegicus (Norway rat)
Lineage: Eukaryota; Metazoa; Chordata; Mammalia; Rodentia; Muridae
Description: long non-coding RNA NONRATT017674
Source: RNAcentral
UCAACGGCAAGCUUAAGAGAUGCUGCUGAAGGGGAAAAGUAGUUCUGGAAAAGGAGGGAAAGGAGGUGCAGCCUCUGGGAGUGACUGGGCUGACAAGAAGUCUCGGGGUCCUAAAGGUGGUGGCAAGGCAGUAAAGGUCAGACACAUUCUAUGUGAAAAAUCAUGGGAAAAUCAUGGAAGCCAUGGAAAAGUUAAAGUCUGGGAUGAGAGCCAGUGAAGUGGCCACACAAAAUAGUGAAGAUACAGCCAGACAAGGGGGUGACUUGGGUUAGAUGACCAGAGGAUCCAUGGUGGGGCCAUUUCAAAAAGCAGCCUUU